AUAAACGGCCGCAUAGUCGCACGUUUCUUAUUUAAGUCACAGAAGAAGCUCAAAAGACGAGCACUUAACCUGUUUCCACGGUUCAUUGGCAAAGUUCCAACAAAAAGAUGGAUUGGGAGGGGCAGAAGCUAUCAGAGCAUCUGAUGCAGAUUAUGCUGGUGAUGUUUGCCGUUGUGGCGUUCUCCACUGGUUACAUGAUGGACUCCUUUCGAAACAUGCUCCUCAUUUACGCAGGGGGUACAGUUCUAACCAUGUUGAUCACUGUUCCUGACUGGCCCUUCUUCAAUCACCACCCACUCAACUGGUUGGCAAGCAAGGAGGCUGAUCUCAAUCCGAAGCCUAAGAUCCAGCCCCCAACCCUCAAAAGGAAGACAAGCAAGACUUCUAUUAAGUAGGAAUUGUAAGAUUUUUCCUCAUUUGUGGGUCUUAUCCAUAGCCAACAGUUGUGAUGUCACUUGAUUUGUAAUACUUUUAGAUAAUGGGGAGUAGUGUUUCCCACUUUUCUUUAACUUGAUGCAUUUUGGGGUAUGACUUCUAUGUUUUUAUAAUGGUUCUUUUGCAAUUUGGUACAGUUUACUUCC
Molecule: non-coding RNA, 581 nt
Organism: Amborella trichopoda
Lineage: Eukaryota; Viridiplantae; Streptophyta; Magnoliopsida; Amborellales; Amborellaceae
Source: RefSeq, a predicted model, not a curated record